This 26-nucleotide non-coding RNA is filed under the name Homo sapiens (human). Lineage: Eukaryota; Metazoa; Chordata; Mammalia; Primates; Hominidae. The record is from RNAcentral.
AGCCAUGGGAUUUCGGUGUGUGUUGC